This 408-nucleotide ribosomal RNA is filed under the name uncultured Methylomirabilota bacterium. RNAcentral describes it as "bacterial SSU rRNA". It matches the Rfam family "Bacterial small subunit ribosomal RNA", at positions 1027 to 1434 of the family's 1533-position model. Lineage: Bacteria; Methylomirabilota (SeqCode). The record is from RNAcentral.
CGUGGAGACAGGUGGUGCAUGGCUGUCGUCAGCUCGUGUCGUGAGAUGUUGGGUUAAGUCCCGCAACGAGCGCAACCCUCACCCCUAGUUGCCACCGGGUAAAGCCGAGCACUCGAGGGGAACUGCCAGCGUCAAGCUGGAGGAAGGCGGGGAUGACGUUAAGUCAUCAUGCCCCUUACGCCCUGGGCUACACACGUGCUACAAUGGCCGGUACAAAGGGACGCGAGACUGCAAGGUGGAGCUAAUCCCAAAAAACUGGUCUAAGUUCAGAUUGCAGUCUGCAACUCGACUGCAUGAAGGAGGAAUCGCUAGUAAUCGCGCAUCAGCACGGCGCGGUGAAUACGUUCCCGGGCCUUGUACACACCGCCCGUCACACCACGAAAGCUGUCUGUACUCGAAGUCGCUGAG